AUUUAAUUUAGAAAAUGGUUUUUAUUUGUGCAAAGGUUUAGAUAAAUAGUAUAGAGAUAGAUUUUUUUUUGUUACUAUAGAUAAUAGUACUGUAAGGGAAUUUUGAAAAUUAUUUUAAAUUUGUGAAAGCAUUAGAGAGUACCUUUUGUAUAAGGGUCUAUUAAAAAUUUUAAAAAAUUUUUUUUUCCCGAAAUUUAACGAGCUAUUUUUAUUAAAUUUUAUAUGUUUUAAAAUAUAAAUUAAAUUAAAAGUAGAGAUGAAAUGUUAUUCGAGUUAAAUGAUAUCUGGUUGAAAAAUAUAAACUAAAUGUUUAUUUUAAAGUAUAUUUAAUUAAGUUGCUUUAAUUUUUAGUACUUAUGGGAUAAGCUAUGGGUAGUUUUAUAUUGAUAAAAUAUAAGUUAAAGAGGUUUAAAAUUUUCUGAAGUUUGUUAUAAAGCAUUUAUUUUUUUUUCUUAAUUAAAAAGUAGGAUUUUUUAAAGAAUUAAAUUUAAAAGGGUUUAUGGUGGAAUUAGUAUAAUUUUUUAUAUUUGUUUGAUUUUAAUUUUUUUUUUGAUAGUUUUUUUUUCUUUAGGAAUUCGGCAAAGUUAAUCUUUGACUGUUUAUCAAAAACAUUGUAUUUUGUAAUGAUAAAAUAUAUGUUCUGCUCAAUGUAAUUAAUAAAUUGCUGUAGUAUUUUGACUAUACAAAGGUAUUGUAAUAAGGUCUUAAAUGGGUGCUAAGAGAAUGAUCUUACAAGGAUUUUCUUUCUUAAGAAAAAUAUUAGAAGUUGGUUUUUAAGUGAAAAAACUUAAAUUUUAUUUUGGGACAAGAAGACCCUAUGAAUUUUUAUUAAAUAAAAGUUUUGUAAAAAAUUUUUUUUAAUUUAAUUGGGGUGAUUUUUAAAGAUUAGGAAUCUUUAAAUUUAAAAAUUGAUCCAUUUUUAGUGAUUCUAUGAAAAAAAUACUCUAGGGAUAACAGNNNNNNNNNNNNNNNNNNNNNNNNNNNNNNNNNNNCAUUGCGACCUCGAUGUUGGAUUAGGAUACUUUUAUAAUGAAGAAGUUAUAAGAAGAAGUUUGCUCAACUUUUAAUAUCCUACAUGAUCUGAGUUCAAACCGGUGUAAGCCAGGUUGGUUUCUAUCUAGAUAUUUAGAAAUUUUCACUUAGUACGAAAGGAAUAGUAAAUUAGGUUUAACUUACAGAUUAUGAACAUUUUGAAAUUA
This 1199-nucleotide ribosomal RNA is filed under the name Argas africolumbae. RNAcentral's name for it is "16S ribosomal RNA". Lineage: Eukaryota; Metazoa; Arthropoda; Arachnida; Ixodida; Argasidae. The record is from RNAcentral.